Non-coding RNA from Durio zibethinus, 1040 nucleotides. Lineage: Eukaryota; Viridiplantae; Streptophyta; Magnoliopsida; Malvales; Malvaceae. The record is from RefSeq and is a predicted model, not a curated record.
UCUAGCAGUCACCUUAUUUUAUUAUAGGCUAAAUGAUCCAGGCUAUAACAUCAAGCAAAAACUAAAAAGAAGAGUCUCGUCUCUUUUUCUCUGGUUUCUUUCUUCUCAAAAUUCUCCGAUAUCAAGGUCCUGUGUUAAAAAUUUCGUAUUUUCUUUCCAGCUUGGGUUGAUCAAUAGAAUGAUCAUGGCUCUUGGAAAUUUGGUGACACCUGUAUGACAGAAAUGCUUGCCUUAAGUAUUGUUUGCCAUCACCCUCGUCUUCCUUGCAUAUGUGGCCUCUUCUGAAACCUGAAGGAGGUUUUGGCACUGAAAGGGAUGUUGCAGUUGUGGCCAACCUAAGUCCAGAGUCGGUUCCAUCGGAGACAAUCGUGUAGGGGCCUGGCACUCCUAUCGUUCAUCAAAGGCUACACUUAAUCAAUAUAAUGCUGUUUGACUUGACGCAUGCCGUGACGGAAAGUAUUUCAGUUGAAUUUGCAGGGAAGAAAGAUCUAGCUCAUGAACAUCAUUAAAACAAUACAAAACAUCAGGGUAAUGGCAAGUUCUUUCCGAGGGAUGGUCAGGAAAUUCCUUGGUGAUUGAAAAUUUGCAUUUUGAUUUAAAAUUUUUUUAAAUAAAGUAUUAGCGAAUGUUAAAUUGUCAUAUUGGUUUAUAGCAGCUAACUGUACGAUUUCGUUGAACUUUCAUCCAUUGCUUUGAUAUUGGUAGACUUCAAGCAUCGGCAGAUAGUCUUGUUAUCAUCAACUGAUUUGAAAGUUUGAGCAAGCUGCUGCAGAUCACAGCAGAGGGCUUAGCAUCUACAGCUGCCUUCCUAAGGUUGGCAACGAAGAAGAGGAAUCUUCAUGGUUGCUUGUCUGUCAAACUGUAUGGAACGUUGAGUUAAAUUGAUGAAAAUUGGGUAGGGGGUGAUGGAUUUAAAUUGUCAUUUUAUACGUCAUUUUCAAGCAUCGGGCUAAGAGAGGUUUGUGUUUCCCAAUGAGAUUGAUCAAAUUCGGAUUAAUCUAUCUAUAUAUAUAUAUAUAUAUAUAUGUCAUGUUAUGCAA